CAGGACGCCAGGGCGCAUGCGUCCUCUGCCGCCGGUCCCGCGUGCGCCGCGGCGGUCACGGAGCGCACGUCGCGAAACCUCUCAGCGCCAUCUGUAAAAUGGACAUCUUAAGAUACUUACCUGAUGAGGAAACCGACCCUGAUGCCAAAUUAUUCCAAAGGCUGCUCUUGGCCCGGCCCAGUGGCGCUCCUGUUGUGACCCCACCUACUUGGGAGGCUGAGGCUGGAGGAUCGCUAGUGACCAGAAGCUGGAGACAGGCCUGGGCAACACCUUGUCUCAAAAAUAAAACACCAGAGGCUGCUCUUUGUCUUA
Lemur catta (Ring-tailed lemur) is the source of this 312-nucleotide long non-coding RNA. RefSeq lists it as uncharacterized. The record is from RefSeq and is a predicted model, not a curated record. The transcript has 3 exons. Lineage: Eukaryota; Metazoa; Chordata; Mammalia; Primates; Lemuridae.